RNAcentral lists this non-coding RNA (107 nucleotides) under Tenebrionibacter intestinalis. RNAcentral's name for it is "RprA RNA". It matches the Rfam family "RprA RNA". Rfam says of the family: Translational regulation of the stationary phase sigma factor RpoS is mediated by the formation of a double-stranded RNA stem-loop structure in the upstream region of the rpoS messenger RNA, occluding the translation initiation site. Lineage: Bacteria; Pseudomonadati; Pseudomonadota; Gammaproteobacteria; Enterobacterales; Enterobacteriaceae. RNAcentral also lists the same sequence under 1 other name. The record is from Rfam by way of RNAcentral.
UCGGUUAUAAAUCAUCUCCUUGAUUUAUAAACAUGGUAAUCCCCUGAGUGAACAACGAAUUGCUGUGUGUAGUCUUUGCCCAUCUCCCACGAUGGGCCUUUUUUUAU